GGGGAGUAACUAUUGGAAACGAUAGCUAAUACCGCAUAAUAGUAGAUGUUGCAUGACAUUUGCUUAAAAGGUGCAAUUGCAUCACUACCAGAUGGACCUGCGUUGUAUUAGCUAGUUGGUGGGGUAACGGCUCACCAAGGCGACGAUACAUAGCCGACCUGAGAGGGUGAUCGGCCACACUGGGACUGAGACACGGCCCAG
Molecule: ribosomal RNA, 201 nt
Filed under: uncultured Streptococcaceae bacterium
Lineage: Bacteria; Bacillati; Bacillota; Bacilli; Lactobacillales; Streptococcaceae
Description: partial 16S ribosomal RNA
Rfam family: Bacterial small subunit ribosomal RNA
Source: RNAcentral